This is a non-coding RNA of Schistosoma mattheei, 46 nucleotides long. Lineage: Eukaryota; Metazoa; Platyhelminthes; Trematoda; Strigeidida; Schistosomatidae. The record is from Rfam.
GCACUGCUGAGGAGUCCCAGACUAGGAUGAGACGGUCGUCCAGUGC